AUUGCACCAAUUUGUAAGUCGCUCUGGAUAAGACCAUCUGCUAAAUGACGUAAA
This is a non-coding RNA of Salmo salar (Atlantic salmon), 54 nucleotides long. NCBI's taxonomy places the organism in Eukaryota, Metazoa, Chordata, Actinopteri, Salmoniformes, Salmonidae. The record is from Rfam.